This 631-nucleotide ribosomal RNA is filed under the name uncultured Bacteroidales bacterium. Its description in RNAcentral is "bacterial SSU rRNA". It matches the Rfam family "Bacterial small subunit ribosomal RNA", at positions 86 to 715 of the family's 1533-position model. The record is from RNAcentral. Lineage: Bacteria; Pseudomonadati; Bacteroidota; Bacteroidia; Bacteroidales.
UGGUGGCGACCGGCGCACGGGUGAGUAACGCGUACGCAACCCAUCUAUCAGAGGGGAAUAACCCGGCGAAAGUCGGACUAAUACCGCAUAAAACAGGGACACCGCAUGGUGAUAUUUGUUAAAGAAAUUCGCUGAUAGAUGGGCAUGCGUUCCAUUAGGUAGUUGGUGAGGUAACGGCUCACCAAGCCGACGAUGGAUAGGGGAACUGAGAGGUUGGUCCCCCACACUGGUACUGAGACACGGACCAGACUCCUACGGGAGGCAGCAGUGAGGAAUAUUGGUCAAUGGGCGAGAGCCUGAACCAGCCAAGUCGCGUGAAGGAAGAAGGAUCUAUGGUUCGUAAACUUCUUUUGCAGGGGAAUAAAGUGCAGGACGUGUCCUGUUUUGUAUGUACCCUGAGAAUAAGGAUCGGCUAACUCCGUGCCAGCAGCCGCGGUAAUACGGAGGAUCCGAGCGUUAUCCGGAUUUAUUGGGUUUAAAGGGUGCGUAGGUGGUUUGAUAAGUCAGCGGUGAAAGUUUGCAGCUUAACUGUAAAAAUGCCGUUGAAACUGUCGGACUUGAGUGUAAAUGAGGUAGGCGGAAUGCGUGGUGUAGCGGUGAAAUGCUUAGAUAUCACGAAGAACUCCGAUUG